Long non-coding RNA from Rhinopithecus roxellana (golden snub-nosed monkey), 1971 nucleotides. RefSeq lists it as uncharacterized. The transcript has 3 exons. NCBI's taxonomy places the organism in Eukaryota, Metazoa, Chordata, Mammalia, Primates, Cercopithecidae. The record is from RefSeq and is a predicted model, not a curated record.
CCUCGUCCAGCGGAAAAGCAGAGAUGCUUUUGAGUUUCAAGAACCAAUUCUUUGGCAUUACAAGAGCCUGGGCUUUGAGUUUCAAAAGUAGAAGUCCUAGAGGCUUCUAGGAAUAAAACUGUGUGUCAUUAACAAGACACCUGGAAGACUGAGCGAGAUGCAAGAGUCAUUUCCCCAUGACCGAGAAGAGGUCAAGGGCCCUGGGCCAGGGGUCUGGGCAGACAAUCUAAGGAGAGCGGAUGAGUCACGAUGAAGUGGCGCUAGGGAGGAUCAGGAAGAGUGAGGUCCCUGUAUGAACUCUAUUCCUGGCUCUGACCACAGCAAGGGACAUCUCUUUGAGCCUUGACGUCCUCAUCUGUGACAUGGGCUUCUCCGACUAGAUGACCCCACUGUCCAUAGGAAAGAAGGAAGCCCCGCUAGCUAGCCUGCUGUGUGUUCCCGUGCUGCCCCAUUUGGGAAAUGAUUCACUGGCCCCAGUACACUCUGCUGUUUUUGCUGGUUGGGAGAGUCUUCUGGUCUUGUUUUUUCCGGAAGAUUCUGGAAAAGCCUCCAGUUCUGCACCUGCGGUGGUUCCAGAGCAAGGUGCUCCUCCAGCCGAGACAAGUCCAUUCAGAAGCUCAGGGUGCAGCAGCAAAGGAGGCAGCUGCAUCUGUCGUGCUGAGAACAGGAGGAACCCAGGGAGCCACUCCUUGUUAGAGCUUCGCCCCAGCCCCUUGGCCUCAACCUGGAGGUGAUUCCCACCCCCAGAGGCAGCCAUCCUCCCGCGGACUCCAGGGGCUCACUGGGACAGCACUGAUGAUGACAAUACGGAUAACAAGCGCUGCCACUGAUAGUCACUGAUACAUCACAACCAGCCCGUGCAAGACCCUGUGCUGAGUGCUUACGUCCACCUUCCCAUCGCAUCCUCCCAACAGCCCCACGGGGGGUUACUGUCACCCCAGCCCAGAGAGGCUAGGUGCAUGCCCCAGGUCACACUGCUGGUAAAAGGGACGCAGGGCAGCUGCGGAGCUCCGGGUCCUAAUCACCCCAUCCCACUCAGUGGAGGGGGCGCAUUUUGCUCAGAAUUUCACCUGAAGCUGGACUUGAAGCAGUAAUUUGGAGGGAUGUGGCUCAGUGAUUGCAUGCACCCGUCUGGAGCAGGGAAGGUGGACUUUUCUGUCCCUAGAUGUCCUUGGGACCUAUCGGGAUGGCCCUGGACCCCUCGCCACUGCUUGGAAGCAGUUCAUAGGAGCAAGACCCGUUGGCAGAUAUCAAGAAAGAAACGAAAAACAUUUUUUCCUUUUUUGAAAAGUGGAGUUCCUCUCUCGGGUCAUACCGGUGUGACAUUUAUCACAAAUGUCCCUCAAAUCUUUGUUGACGUCUGUUCCCCUGUGCCAUCAACUCCCUGAGGGCAGGAGCCGGGGUCACUUUGGCUCAACGAUGAAUGCCCAGUGUCCAUCACGGUACCUGGCAUGUGGGAGGCAUUUGAUGAACAUUUGUAGACCAGCGCCUCAGCAGUGAGAAUGAGGCUGCCAGGUGAAAGCGUCAAGCACCGUGUGGGGGUUUUUCUUGGGUGGGGUACUAAGGCGUUCGCCUGCAGCGCUGGGUCGUGGCUGCUGCUCGGGAGGUGAAGAUCCCAGGCUCCCUCUGAGUCACACGGUUUCAGGCCUGGGGUAUCUGUGUCUGGGCGCUAUGCUGUGAGGGCUGGGGGUCACCAUCCUGGGCCACGACUUCGUGCAGACACCUGCUCAGCCAGGCCAGAGGCCCCAGCAGCCAACCAGCUGCUGUUUCUCAACCUGCUCCCUGCCCAGACCAAAGCAGAGACAAGAGAGGGGACAGGUGCCCUUGGGAGAUGCAGUUGAGAGCAGGGAUGUGCUUAGCCAGGGCUGCACCCUGGCAGGCAGACUUGCUUUGAGAUACUGCAUUUUAUCUUGAACAAAUUCAUGCCACCUUUGCAUUCCAGCCAAUAAAACUCUUGCCUUUGUGGGGCAC